GGGCAGAGAAGGGAAGAGAUGCACCUGCCAAUGGGAACGCUCAAAAUGAGGAAAAUGGGGAGCAGGAGGCUGUCAAUGAGGUAGAUGAAGAAGAGGAAGA
Mus pahari (shrew mouse) is the source of this 100-nucleotide long non-coding RNA. RefSeq lists it as uncharacterized. The transcript is spliced from 3 exons. NCBI's taxonomy places the organism in Eukaryota, Metazoa, Chordata, Mammalia, Rodentia, Muridae. The record is from RefSeq and is a predicted model, not a curated record.